RNAcentral lists this ribosomal RNA (447 nucleotides) under uncultured bacterium. Its description in RNAcentral is "bacterial SSU rRNA". It matches the Rfam family "Bacterial small subunit ribosomal RNA", at positions 329 to 793 of the family's 1533-position model. The record is from RNAcentral.
GUCCAGACUCCUACGGGAGGCAGCAGUGGGGAAUAUUGCACAAUGGGGGAAACCCUGAUGCAGCGACGCCGCGUGAAGGAAGAAGUAUUUCGGUAUGUAAACUUCUCUCAGCAGGGAAGAAAAUGACGGUACCUGACUAAGAAGCCCCGGCUAACUACGUGCCAGCAGCCGCGGUAAUACGUAGGGGGCAAGCGUUAUCCGGAUUCACUGGGUGUAAAGGGAGCGUAGACGGCCAUGCAAGCCUGGAGUGAAAGCCCGGGGCCCAACCCCGGGACUGCUCUGGGAACUGUGCGGCUGGAGUGCGGGAGGGGCAGGCGGAAUUCCUGGUGUAGCGGUGAAAUGCGUAGAUAUCAGGAGGAACACCGGCGGCGAAGGCGGCCUGCUGGACCGCGACUGACGUUGAGGCUCGAAAGCGUGGGGAGCGAACAGGAUUAGAUACCCGCGUAC